Molecule: transfer RNA, 64 nt
Filed under: Thulinius sp. DVL-2010
Lineage: Eukaryota; Metazoa; Tardigrada; Eutardigrada; Parachela; Doryphoribiidae
Description: tRNA-Asp
Source: RNAcentral
UAAAAAUUAGUUUACAAUAAAAACAUUAAAUUGUCAAUUUAAAAAAACUUUCAAGUAUUUUUAA